This 253-nucleotide ribosomal RNA is filed under the name uncultured bacterium. RNAcentral describes it as "partial 16S ribosomal RNA". It matches the Rfam family "Bacterial small subunit ribosomal RNA", at positions 524 to 776 of the family's 1533-position model. The record is from RNAcentral.
UACAGAGGGUGCGAGCGUUGUCCGGAAUCACUGGGCGUAAAGGGCGCGUAGGCGGCUGGAUAAGUCGCGUGUGAAAUCCCGGGGCUCAACCCCGGAACGGCACGCGGGACUGUCCGGCUAGAGAAUGGUAGAGGCAAGUGGAAUUCCUGGUGUAGCGGUGGAAUGCGUAGAGAUCAGGAGGAACACCGGUGGCGAAGGCGGCUUGCUGGGCCAUUUCUGACGCUGAGGCGCGAAAGCGUGGGGAGCAAACAGG